UACGGAAGGCAGCAGUGGGGAAUAUUGCACAAUGGGCGCAAGCCUGAUGCAGCCAUGCCGCGUGUAUGAAGAAGGCCUUCGGGUUGUAAAGUACUUUCAGUCGUGAGGAAGGUGUUAAGGUUAAUAACCUUAGCAAUUGACGUUAGCGACAGAAGAAGCACCGGCUAACUCCGUGCCAGCAGCCGCGGUAAUACGGAGGGUGCGAGCGUUAAUCGGAAUUACUGGGCGUAAAGGGCACGCAGGCGGUUAAUUAAGUUGGAUGUGAAAUCCCCGGGCUUAACCUGGGAAUGGCAUUCAAGACUGGUUAGCUAGAGUCUUGUAGAGGGGGUAGAAUUCCAUGUGUAGCGGUGAAAUGCGUAGAGAUGUGGAGGAAUACCGGUGGCGAAGGCGGCCCCUGGGACAAAGGACUGACGCUCAUGUGCGAAAGCGUGGGGAGCAAACAGGGAUUAGAU
RNAcentral lists this ribosomal RNA (452 nucleotides) under uncultured bacterium. Its description in RNAcentral is "bacterial SSU rRNA". It matches the Rfam family "Bacterial small subunit ribosomal RNA", at positions 340 to 783 of the family's 1533-position model. The record is from RNAcentral.